GCGAAUAAAAUGUACUGUAAUUAAAGUUUUGUAAAAGUUGAUAAAUGCAUUUCUAAUUCACACACAAUUUAGUACUAGAAUUUAUCAACCAAGAAUAGAGAUGUUUCUGAUUACAUUUUGAUCUGCUACACAUUAUAUUUUCCAUGCUAAAAGGACUUGGUGCAUUGUUACUCUCUUGUUCUUGUUUUUCGUCAUGGAUAUCAUUAAUUCUGCGGGUAAUUCUUUUCUCAAACCCAAUUAACUAAGACUGAUUGACGAGUUGCAGUGGAUUGCUCCUCAACUUUUGGAACCUGGUCCCAAACAGACUCAAACAACAAUAACUAGGAGAAAACUAAACAAUAAAGUGUGUGGAGAAGGUAACAAGCAAACACAACAAUAUUUACGUGGAAACUCCUAACUCAAGGGAGAAAAACCACGACCUGCCUCCAGAAUUUCUAAAGCUCCUCUAUACCCAAUCAAACUUGAAUACAGUUUCCAGACUUCAAGGAUUAAACUCCUAAUCUUUUAUCUCCUAUUAAUAACUCUAUUACAAAGACACACUAGCAUUAACUCUACUACUACACCUUUCAGCUAACUCUAACCGGAAGACAAGCUAACUCUUGCUUGAAAAAUCACCUAACUCUAGAUGAUUACAAAGAAAUGGGUUUUACACCACAACACUUGCUAAUAAUCUUACAGGCAACAGUAGGCAAACAUUUAAUACAUAUUACAAAGACUCAAAUACAACAAGAAAAUAAAGUACAACUUUUUGAGCUAUCAAUUCCCUAUUGCAAAAGGAGACUUUGAUUCAAAAUUUCAAGAGAGAUAUUCGUUAUAAGUAUAUGGAAGCAUAGUUUUCUUGUUGAAAAGAAUGAGAAAUAUAUAGUAUGACACAGGAAAACCUAGAAAUAAUCUCAUUGGUUGAGACAAAAAGGUUACAAUAACUUUUCACCAACUUUUUGUACUUCCAUCUAGCUGUGGGGUUGAGUGUGUUAGUGAAAGGUAAGCCCAACCUAUUCCCUAAGUAGUAGCAACUUUAAUCAUCACACAAUCUUUAGGGAACAGGUCCCAAUAUGCAAUUUGUCAUAUCAUCAAAACUAAGAACUUAGCAAUUUUUCCUUUUUGAUGAUGACAAACCCAUGCAUGUCUUCAACAUCUUCAGUCAUCCACAAAGUACACAUCAUACACAGCAAGACUCAGUAACUCAUGCCUUCAAUCCUUUUUCUCCAUCUGUUCUCCAUGUCAUUUAUACCCUAAGCCUCUCCCACUUAUUCCCCCUGAGUGUGAGGAUCCUGUAUCUUCAUUCACUACCCCGUUCCCUCUUUGCACACUACACAAUGAGCAAUGCACAACAACACCUCCACAUCAUACUAAUACUAUGCACAACUAUACCUCAACUUCCCUCUUUAUAGAUGAGCAUACAUGUUAAUCCAUGGCCAUUAAGGCCACACUUACAUGAGCAAGAAAGAUUAGACUAAAUAAGAAAAGGAAUAGCAUAAAGAUAAUCCAUUCAUUAAUCAAGCCAAGGCAGUAUCAAUAACUAUUCAAAGUAGUGGCUGCCAAAAACAUAAUAAGUGUUCCAGUUAUAGUCAGAGUCAACAAAAAGAAACAUAGGAAAAACAGAGAUACAUAGGCUUAAGAAGAAGGUUUGAGAGGAAAAAAGUGAGGACUAGGUUGGGAUGGAUUCUAGAAAGAAGGAUCAGAAGCACAAGACAACUGUCUAAGGAGGAUUUUCAUCCUCUCACUCUCAACAACAUGUGCUUUGAGAAUCUACUGAGUCAAAUCUCUAUUCUUUGCAAGUAAGGCCUCAAUCUUUGCUUCCAGCUUCUUCACCUUUUCUUUUAGGAAAAUAUUUUCAGCACUUAGUUUCUCAUCUGAACCUGUUUACACUUCUUCUCCUUUCACAGAUGCUACAAUUAGUGUAGCAAUCUCUAAAAUCUCUUAGAGAAACCAAAGAAAUCAUAGAAUCAAGCUCUUCCCUUAAACUAACCUGAACAUCUACUAACUCAGAGACUAGAGACUUGGAUUUUUCACCUUCCUUUCUUGGAACACACUCAUUGUCCUCUAGGGUGGUCAUGUUGAACAUUUGCUUGACAGAUCUAACUUUGCCUUUUCCAUACACCACAUUAAAGUAGGAAAAAAUUCCACUAAGACAGAAACCAUAAGUCAAACCAUGCUUCCUAUCCUUGGAAAUUAUCACAGUGUGCAUAUAUUUAAUUACAAUUUAUUUGGACCAAACUUUCAUGAGAAAAAAGUUAGGCCACAAUGGUUCUCUUUUCAGAUUUGGGGAGGAGUGAUUUGUUUACCAACUCAAAAAGCAUUUGGUAUUCACUUCUCAGAGCCUUUUUGUUCACAUUCUUGAUAUUCAUGUCAUCAAGUCUCCCACAGAUCUCCAAAACCAUCAGAAAUCCUUUCUUUUUUUUCAAGGACUUGAUCCCUUCUAUAGGAACUCCCAAUAUCUCAGAUAGUACUUACUUAUCUAUGACUAUGUUAACCUCAUUGACAUGAGAAAUCAUGUACAAGCCAUCUUCAAAAAAUAUCAAAUUAUGAUAAAACAUGCACACUUCAUUUUUAUGUAGGGUGGAACAGGUCCCUCAAACAAAUGCUCCUAAUUUUGGAACAAUACAAUCAACUCCUUCAUCCUAGUUAACUCAACUACAGUCGGAUCAAACAUUCUUCCUCUCAAAACUUCCUGAGUCUUCAAAAUUUCCAAUCUUGACUUCCUGGACAACCCUUUCUCUUUCCCAAUAGAUAUAGAUGCCUUUCUUGAAAGAUAGUUUCCUUAGCAGAAGACCCAUGGGUUACUGAGGUCUUUGCUAACUUGGGACUAGGACCUGGUCCCUUGUCACCAACCUUUGCUGACCUUUUUCUUUUACCAGUGGAUUUUGACAUUGGUUUUUUCAACAGGACACCUUCCCCUUUCUUUGGAGAGACUAUUCCUUUUCCUUUCACUUUGGCUCUAAGAAACCACACCUCUUUCUACAUUAGAGUCAAUAUCAUCACUGUUAAACAUACUGUCAUCAUUAUCAUCUGGCAAACUUCUAGGAAGACUAUCAUAAUCACUAUCCCUACUAUCAUCAGGAUCACUUUUAGUGUUUUUAUCAAUAUGCUUCACUUCUACUAUCCUUUUUACAACUGACUCAAUUAUGUCUAUACCCUUUUCUUUUCCAUCGUUCCCUUAUUGGUAUUACUUUUAUUUUUCUCCAAGGCUUCCUUCAUCAGAUACCUAGGACUUGACCUGGUCCUUGAUGGCUUGACUGUUCCAGAGGAAGCCUUGGUAGAAGAAGAUGAUCCUUUCUUAGAUAUUUUCCAAGACAUGGAUCUAUCAUCAUCACUGUUAGUAGAAUCUUUAUCACCACCAGAAAGAUCAAGAAUAGGGGGAAGUACCACAUUUUCAUCAUCAUAAUUCUUACGAGGAUCAUUUUGCCUUCUCGUGAAUAGUGUAGCUGGGGUGUGUGUCCUACCUAGGGGUUGCUGCACUCAAGGUAGUGAGACCUUGCACCCCAAUCUCCUCACUUAUGGCUUGAAUGUUGAAAGAGGUUCUCUUGGAGGUUGGUAAGUCUUCAAAUAAGUUCUCAUCAAUGAAUGCACUUCUAUUUACUAGGAGAGUAACUUUUGAGGAGAAGGGAUUUUGGAGGAAAAGUUCAAAUCUUGGUCUGAAGGAACUGGUUGGUUGGAAGUUUGGUCUAUGGAGGGGUUGUUCUAAGGAGAAUUUUUAGAGAUAUGGUGUUUAGAGUAGUCAAUGUUGGGGUAUUGAUAACGGAAAAACCAUGAAACUCAAAAACCAGUCAAGAACACAAGGGAAAACGAUAACAAGAUACAAAAACAACUACGGUAGUAACACACAAUAAACCGAGAAUGGGAGACAAGAAACAAAAACAACAAUGCAAUAAUGUCAAGAUAGGCAAGAUGACAUAAAAUCUUAUGAAACAAUGAGAACCAACACACAUAUCAAAUGCAGAGACCCUCAAAGUCGUAAUAAUCAAACACCAAUCUUCUUACGGUGACCACUAAGGGAAUCAACUCCACUUAAAACCACCAUUUCUAAGGAAAAUAUCAAUAUUGGCUUUUCUAAGUCCUACACUAACAACUUGGAUUUACCAAGCCCUACACUAAAGGUGUUACACUCUCAAAGAGAGAAGUAGUCUUUCACAAUAUCAUCAUUAAUAAACUAAAGAGAAAAUGACCUAAUAGAAGAAUAUAGAUAGGCUAGAUUAUUACAUAACAAAAAUGACCACAAUACCCUUAAUGAAAGGGGUAGCCAUGAAGUGUCUUUCCAACAAGUGUAAUCCCCGAAAUACCAUUAAUGAAGGGUGAUUCUUCAAUGCUCCACAACCGUGGGGUCAUGCUUCAACACUUGUGGUCUCAGGUUGGUAUCAAAGGUAAGCCCCCACUCAAUCUUCCACAUACGGAUUUGCCUUAUGUCAUGCCCAAAAUGGGUCAUCCAUGUAUGUUCUUGUGUCCAUGAGGUGACCAAGUCUCGAGUCUUUAUGCAUUGGCAUACAAUGAUGUGUUCAAUAGAAUAGAUGGCCAUUUGGCUCGUAUCAUCCUCCCCUUCUUGAAAAGAAUUCAACCUCGAAUCCAUACCUUGCAAAACUAAAGAAAGGACAAGCAAGCACAACUUUCUCAUGGCAUGAGGGUUAAAGUUAGUAUAACAAAUGACAUCAUCAUGCCAAGGUGGUAUAUACUCGAGAUAUAACCAUGAAUCCUUUGUCUUAGUCAUGAAAAGUUUAGUAAGAAUAUUACAAAGUAAAUGGCUAAGACAAGUAUCAAGAGAUAAAUAAACUACAAAGGUUUUAAUGGUAUCACUAAGUCCAAAAGAUAAGGCUACCCUUGUCUUAGGAAUCAUAAAGCACAAUUGUUUCAUUACCUCUUCAAGUGGCCUCUUCAAACGUGGUGCUACCAUUGGUCUCAAAGUACACCAAUCCCACAUAGCAUUGUCACUCAAACAAGUGGACCAACCAAUAAGACCUUUACCUCUACUUAAUGGAAACCCAAAACUAGCAUGGAUGUCAUCAUAGACAAAGAAGUAGUAUAGGAAAAAAUCAAGUGUAAAGACAUGCAUGGGUGAAGACAGAAUUUAAGCACAUACACUCUCUUUCCUUCAAACAAUAGACAACUUGGCAUCCAAAAGUUGGGAUUCAUGCAAUUUAAGCACAAGCGUGUCAAGCAAGGAUGCACAUUUAGAAAUAUUACCCCAAUGAGUCAAUGACACCUUUGCCCUCAGGUUGUCAAGAAGGACUACACAUUCCUUACCCUUAAGAGUACUCUCAUCUUUCAAAAAGAGAUUUCCACCUUUAGAAGGAUUGUUGUCACACCAUACUGGGUUAGCGUAUAGGCUAUAGCCUUCAAGACAAUCUAUACCAUCAUUCUUACCACUAGAUUCAUUGGGAGUGAUUAUACCAUCUUCAAACAAGACAUUAUAUCUAAAAAAGAGCAUGAUCUAUUCUGCAGGUAGAUUAAGAAUAAGUAAGUUCACUCUCUAAAAGUUCAUUAUCAAGUUUUAAAGAUGUUUCAAGCACAUGAUUAUCCUUAUGAGCCAAGCAAAUAUUAUAAUCAAAGGGCAAGCUCAGGGGUUCACUCCUAUUCCUUUGAUCAAUAUUUUCAACAUCAUUAUACACUUGAGAUUCAUUAAUCACAUCACGCACAUCCUCAAGUGGUGGGAAAUUUUCACACAUUAGUUGAUCAACACAAAUUUUACAAGACGAUGUACUUUCAUUUAACACAAUGGUUUUAACCUAGGUGGACAUAAAUUGAUCUUACAAGAAGAGUCGAUUCAGUCAUCAAAAGGAUAAACUAGUAUAUCCAUACUCACAACAUGUACAUCAUCAUCAAGUGGCAAAGAAACAAUAGACUCACAUAUAGGCAAGCUACACCUCACACUCAAUGGGAUACUAGCCACACAAUUAUCAUUCACAUGCACAAAAGUGCAAGAUUUAGCUAUUUUACCUUGAAGUUCUUGAGUAGAUUUUUGUUUGCUGUGGUGUGAAGGUUCCUCGCAUGCUUUGGCAGCAACUUCUCUUUGGCCUUGUGCUCGCCCUCUUGCCAUGUUGGUACCUGAAGAAAUGUCCUUAGAAAUAAAAGGACAAAUAUAGUUAGCUCGGUUUGGUGGCAAUCCCCUCACUUUUACUCCUCACAACCUCUCUUUUUUUCACUCUCGGAUUUCCACCUUGCACACCCUUACUCCUCUAAAUCUUUUGUCUCUCAUAGUAAUUUGGAUUGGAGUAGGUGAACACUUCUCUUUGCGGCUUGGGCAGAAUAGAUGUAAUGAGAUAAUUUCCCCAUUAGUCUCUUACAACAAUAGGCCAAUUUUGCACAUUUGAAACUUUAUGUUGUGAAAACCAAUCGGCACCUAAUCUUACAUGAACAUAUGUCAAGGGAAAAAUAUCGCACCAUACCUCCUCAUGGUAUUUAAAUUGGGAGAAGACAACCUUUACCCUCUCGGUAACCUUAAACCCGUUCAAGGAAUAUGGAACAAGUAAAGGUUAUUGAAACAACCCCAAUAAUCAACCAUGGAUGGAAGGAUGUAGUUUUUAUAGCACCUAUCAUCUAGAAUGAUGAGGCAUCCUAGUACCCCAUAAAUGAUCACCUUUCCGAAGUGAACAUUCCUUCUUGGAUCAACAUUGUAAGGCACAUGAUCACCCUUCGACUUUAGAGAUGCAUACCCUCUUCUUCUCAUGGACAACCUCUACUAUAACUAGUAUAACCAUUCAAACCAUGUCAACCUUGAUAAGAAGUACUACAAGUUGAAGAAUAUGAAUUUUCACACUCCACAUGUGAACUUCACCAUAGCUCUCAUAAGCUUUGCAAAUGAAACGGUUAUACCUUGCACCAAUUCUAGUUUCGGUUUGGGAAGUGUAAGAACCUGCAUACGUCCCAACUUCAUCAUAAGGACCAUCACAAGGCUCUUCAUCAUCUCCAUGUUCACCAUAAGCACUAGACACUUCAUUCACCUCAUUUUCCCCUUGAAAACCGUAACCCUCAAAUCUGUCCGUGCCUUGACCAUAGCUAUUUUCAUAGGCACUAUAAUCUCCAACAACUUCGUAGCCAUAAAAUCUCUCACUACAAUCAUAGUCUCCUAUGUAGUAGUCAUAAUAAUCUGCGGCUAUCAAAGACAUGUUCCCUUAUAAUACCUUGUACCUACAAAAUGAACAAACAAGAUUAGUGGUAAAAUCUCCUCACCAACACUCGUAUGCACUCACCUUUAUGAUCCUCAUAAUUGGAGCGACGAAUAUUGAAAGUUGCUUAUACUUCGGUAGUCAAUAAGAUGUCAAUCCUACUUAGCAGCCGGAAUAGAUUCUUAUUUGAUCGACUUAAGACACAAAAAAUAAAUCAGCUUACGGACUUGAAACAAAAAAAUUAUGACGAAUUAAAAAUGAGAAAAGCACACAUAUAAUGAAGACAUGAUGAAUUCAAAACUAAUUCACAAUCUAGUAGGUGAUUACUAGUUGCUAAUUAGUAUUAGAAUCAAGAAAUGAAACUAAUGAAACAAAGAAAAGAAAUUUAGAAUCUAAAUUUGAGCUUCAAGGUAUUUGGAACGUUAAUGAUGUGGCACUUCGAUGACGAGGUAGUUUGGUGAUGUGGCAGUUUUUUUUUCUUGUUGAGAAUUUGAAUUGGUCAAAUUUAAUUUGGAAGCGUGGAAAUUCGGUUUUGGUAGGGAACAAACAAGACUUGGAGACUUUUUCAAAUUUAAAAAAGGUUUGACCUUCCUUGCACCUUUUUGGCUAAAAACCUUUAUGAAAGACUUUUGGCUUUUUCCUUUUUUGUAUGUCUUGGAAAAUGCCCCUUUCUCUUUUUUGUCAACAACACUUUUUGAAAGCCUUUUGUCUACUUUCUUCUUUGGUGUUGUCUUGAAAUUUUUUUCCAGCCAAAAAAAAGAACACACCUUAUUUCCACUUUAUUCAAGAUCAAACAACACAUUUGGAGUGUUCUUGGUUAACAAUUUAUCAACAUGGUGAAGAACACCAAGAACACUCAAAGUGCAUCUUAAGAAAAUAACCUCCAAAUUGAAUGAAUUUUGAAUUUUUCAAACAUACAUGAUCUCCCAAAUAACAAUACCACAAUUUCAAGACCAAUUCUCAACCACAACGACAACACAUGGCUCAAGCUCAAGUCCUCAACUACAACAACAACCUACCCAAAAUCUAAACAUAACUAAAAAAUGUCUCAAAUUUUAGAUUUUUACUCUAUUAGUGUUAGUGAAGAAGGGACUAACACUAGAAACAACAAAAUACACAAAAAACACAAGAAAAUUAGGCUUCAAACUUCGGCCUAAACACAAAAAUGGGACAGCUUUACUAUUUUUGAGUUUUUCAGCUUUUUAACACUUUUUUGGUUGAUUUUUCGAGUGAAUAAGCCCAAGAUUGAUCUCGUGGGAAUGAAAUCAAUGAUGGCUCUGAUACCAAAUGAUAGCGGACAAACCAUGAAACUCAAAAACCAGUCAAGAACACAAGGAAAAAUGAGAACAAGAUACAAAAACAACUAUGGUAGCAACACACAAUAAACCGAGAAUGGGACACAAGAAACAAAAACAACAAUGCAAUAAUGUAAAGAUAGGCAAGAUGACAUAAAGAUCUUACGAAACAAUGAGAACCAACAUGCAUAUCAAACGAAGGGACCCUCAAAGUUGCAAUAAUCAAACACCAAUCUUCUUACGGUGACCACUAAGGGAAUCAACUCCACUUAAAACCACCGUUUCUAAGGAAAAGAUCAAUAUUGGAUUUUCCAGGCCCUACACUAAAGGUGUUACACUCUCAAUGAGAGAAGUAGUUUUUCACAAUAUCAUCAUCAAUAAACUAAAGAGAAAAUGACCUAAUAGAAGUCUAUGUAUAGGCUAGCUUAUUACAUAAUAAAAAUGACCACAAUACCCUUUAUGAAAGGGGUGGCCAUGGAGUGUCUUUCCAACAAGUGUAAUCCCCAAAAUACCCGCAAUGAAGGGUGCUUCUUCAAUACUCCAAAACCGUGGGGUCAUUCUUCAACACUUACGGUCUUGGGUUGGCAUCAAAGGUAAGCCCCCACGCAAUCUUUCACGCACGGGUUUACCUUAUGUAAUGCUCAAAAUGGGUAAUUCAUGUAUGUUGUGUCCAUGAGGUGACCAAGUCUUGAGUCUUUAUGCACUGGCAUCCAAUGAUGUCUUCAAAAGCAUAGAUGGUCGUUUGGCUCGUAUCAGGUCUUCUUUCUUUUCUGAAGAAAACUUAGUUUUAGGGUUAGAACUGGCCUCAACAACAUCAUCCUUUUAUGAGAGUGGAGCAUUGGGAGUUUUUAUUUUCACUUAAGANNNNNNNNNNNNNNNNNNNNNNNNNNNNGGAAAGAGGAGUAAACUUUUUAAUGGAAAAGGACUUCUCUAGUUUAAAGUCAGAAGGGAUAGAGGGAGUAUCAAUCCCUUUUAUGAAAUAGGCUCAUCUUUUCGAGAGAAUGUGAGAGGAUUUGACAUUGUAAGAACUGAGAUAGAUAAAACAUGAUGAAAUCUCUUGGAAAUGGUUUGGGAGAUGAUAAGCUUUAUGAGAUAAACUUUUCAAAAGUGUAAGAGAAAGUUUGAUUUUGAUCUUAAAUAGGAAGGAAAGAAUGGUUCAGAUUUCAUGAAAAGUCAUGGCUGAUGAGACGUGUCUCUUAGACUUUAAGUAUGAGUUACAACUUUUAAUAAGAGGAAGGAGAGUGAUGUGGCACACACAUUUUCACACCCUUUUUUUGACCAAAAAGAUUAGAUUUUAAGUUUCAAAAAUAUUUUAAUUAUUAAGUGACAAAAGAUGAAAGUUUGUUUUGAAAAAGGAUUAUUUAUAUUCAAAACUCAGAGUCUCCACUUGACAUAAUCGGGUGUGCCAAGUCACCUUUGGAAAAUCCUUUUCAAAAUGAUUUGACUCUUUAAACUGGUUUGUGAACAGAGAUUCCGCUAAGGAAUUUUGUUGACCGAGGGGAAGGUGUUAGGCACCUCUCGAUCCCGUGGUUCGACCACAGUCGCUUGGUGGAUUAUAUCGGCUAAUUUUGAUACUAAGAAUGUAUAAACCACAUAAAAGCAUACAAAACAAUCAAUAAAACCAACAAAACAAAAAAAUCCAUAAUAUAAUGUUCAGUCCGAGUUAUGCAGUCCCAAAAUAGAAAAAUAUGAAAAUAUAAAUCCUAUUCUAAACUAAUCCUAGACUAAACUCCAAUUCUUUACCCGAUGCCUCAGGCCUUCAUCACGAACCUCCUUUGCAUACAUGAUACGUCGGGGCAUUCCUCGGUAAGUAAACACAAGUGAUGGCGGGGCAUUCCCCGAUUAAAUGAAUACAUUUUCAAAUGCAAGAACUAAAACCAAACCAUUCAACUCAAAUUCCAUAUUCAAACAUUCAACAAGAAAAUUUAUUUCUAAAUUUGCCUACCCGAACCUACGUUUGCCUAUCCAUUUCAAUAUAUCAUAAUUCUAUCAUGUUCAACAUUAUCAAUGCACCAAAAUUAAUCAAUAUUUAUUUUUUCCUCUGUUUUUAAUCCAUGCCCUCAAAUUUCAUUCUAAACCAGCAAUUACUCAAUUCCGACAUAAACUCAACUAAUCAAGACACGAUAAUUAUGAGAAAAACUCAAAUACGCAUUCAAAUAUAUCAAUCAAGUCAUAUCAUCAAACACGCUAAAAUAAUAAAUAGUAGGGUUCAGAAUUUGGACCUCCAAAUAGACGAUUUCUGUUGAUAAUAAUGUUUAAGAGAGUCCGAGCUUGUAAAAUCCUCGAUAAAUCCCCAACAACUAACCAACCAACUCGAUAUCAAGAAUAGUAAACUCGAACAGGUUUAAACCCGAGACAGAGGAAAUAUCAAACAAAAUGAGAUCGAAGUUGCCAAAGAGACCAAGAAACCCGCAUACCAAAACUCACUAGAGUUAAUCCUACUCGCAAGAAUCCACUCAAAAGAAAAUGACACAACACUGUCUUUAUUCGCUGGAACAGUCAAACAUACAACGAAUCUUGUGGUUCUCCCCUCUCCUCGAUGUUCUCUAUUUCUCUGACUAUUUUUUCUCCCAAAUCUUUCCACUCUUUCUCAAUUAAGCUCGAUCUCUCUUUCUCUCUCUCUCCCGAGCUCGAUCUCUUUUUCUCUCUCCCUCUCCCAAGCUUGAUCUCUCUUUCUCUUCACUCUUAAUCUCUCUCUCUCCCAUCUCCCUACUGUCAUGCCAUUUCAGUAGAUGUAGGUGUGAUUGUGUGUAUGCAUGAAUAUGAGAAUAAAUAGAAUUGAGUGUUCUCUCCCCUGUUUUCUUUCACUGGUUUGUGUGAGUGAGAGUAUGUGGUUUUUGUGGAGAAGAUAAGUGGAGAAGAAUGGUGUGUGUGCCUAUGAAUUCUGGUGCUUGAGAGUUUGUACGUACUCAGCGAGGGAGUAUCCCGUGGAGAGAGUUGUGUUUCUAUAUCUAUUAGUGAGGUCUGGUAUAAAAUGGGAAUGGUGAGGUGUUGUGUGGUGAAAAAAUUCCAGUGGGGCCCAUGAGUGAAAAAUGCAUAUUGUAUUUAUUGUUAAUGGAAAAAGG
Molecule: long non-coding RNA, 11457 nt
Filed under: Capsicum annuum
Lineage: Eukaryota; Viridiplantae; Streptophyta; Magnoliopsida; Solanales; Solanaceae
Description: long non-coding RNA (CANN_LNC021670)
Source: RNAcentral